This 468-nucleotide ribosomal RNA is filed under the name uncultured bacterium. Its description in RNAcentral is "partial 16S ribosomal RNA". It matches the Rfam family "Bacterial small subunit ribosomal RNA", at positions 28 to 507 of the family's 1533-position model. The record is from RNAcentral.
GACGAACGCUGGCGGCGUGCUUAACACAUGCAAGUCGAACGGCAAGGCCCUGCUUUUGUGGGGUGCUCGAGUGGCGAACGGGUGAGUAACACGUGAGUAACCUGCCCUUGACUUUGGGAUAACUUCAGGAAACUGGGGCUAAUACCGGAUAGGAGCUCCUGCUGCAUGGUGGGGGUUGGAAAGUUUCGGCGGUUGGGGAUGGACUCGCGGCUUAUCAGCUUGUUGGUGGGGUAGUGGCUUACCAAGGCUUUGACGGGUAGCCGGCCUGUGAGGGUGACCGGCCACAUUGGGACUGAGAUACGGCCCAGACUCCUACGGGAGGCAGCAGUGGGGAAUAUUGCACAAUGGGCGGAAGCCUGAUGCAGCAACGCCGCGUGCGGGAUGACGGCCUUCGGGUUGUAAACCGCUUUCGCCUGUGACGAAGCGUGAGUGACGGUAAUGGGUAAAGAAGCACCGGCUAACUACGUG